GUAGCAAAUUUGCAGCUAUCUGAAUGUGGUUUUCAGGGAGUAAAGCUCUUCGGGCAUCAAGACACCUCUGAAAAAGCUCUUGAGCUUCUUUCAAUUUUCCAAGCGACUGAAGGGUCAAGGCCAGGCGUUCAGCUGCAAUUACAGUCUCUGGAGAAUUCCAACCCUUUGCUAAUUCCAUAAUAUGCAGGAUCUUCCUCAGAACAUUCUCAGCCUCUUCGAUCCGGUGAGUUGUGAUGUAUAUCUGAGCUAGCUGUUGCAUCCUCUUGGUACAUAUCAUUGAUUCACCUUGACCACCAUCCUCCAAAAUCCGAAUAGAAUCGCGAAUCAGAGCCUCUGAAUCCUUGUAUUUACCCUGAAGAGACAGCACUGUUCCCAGAUGAUACAUGGUAUCAGCAUAGUCUAGAUGAGCCUCCCCUAAGACACGCCUCUUUAUCUUUAAAGCACGCUCAUA
This 451-nucleotide unclassified non-coding RNA is filed under the name Hevea brasiliensis (rubber tree). The record is from RNAcentral. Lineage: Eukaryota; Viridiplantae; Streptophyta; Magnoliopsida; Malpighiales; Euphorbiaceae.